AUGGCCGAGUAGGCAUUAGACUGUAAAUCUAAAGACAGGGGUUUCAGCCCCCUUUCUACCA
Molecule: transfer RNA, 61 nt
Filed under: Tragulus napu (Balabac chevrotain)
Lineage: Eukaryota; Metazoa; Chordata; Mammalia; Artiodactyla; Tragulidae
Description: tRNA-Tyr
Rfam family: tRNA
About the family: Transfer RNA (tRNA) molecules are approximately 80 nucleotides in length. Their secondary structure includes four short double-helical elements and three loops (D, anti-codon, and T loops).
Source: RNAcentral